RNAcentral lists this small RNA (128 nucleotides) under Salmonella enterica. RNAcentral's name for it is "RtT sRNA". It matches the Rfam family "RtT RNA". From Rfam's summary of the family: This family represents a bacterial cis-regulatory element known as RtT RNA. The exact function of RtT is unknown although it is thought that it may be involved in changing the cellular response in relation to amino acid starvation. RNAcentral also lists the same sequence under 3 other names. The record is from RNAcentral. Lineage: Bacteria; Pseudomonadati; Pseudomonadota; Gammaproteobacteria; Enterobacterales; Enterobacteriaceae.
UUGCUAUCUGCGAUAUGGAAGAUUCGAACCUGCCGCAGGUUCGGGUCGAACGCAGUGAGACAACGGAGCCGUUUACGGCGACGGCCCGAAGGGCGAGGCGAAGCCGAGUCAUCCUGCACGACCCACCA